Oncorhynchus tshawytscha (Chinook salmon) is the source of this 522-nucleotide long non-coding RNA. NCBI's taxonomy places the organism in Eukaryota, Metazoa, Chordata, Actinopteri, Salmoniformes, Salmonidae. The record is from Ensembl.
AGAUUCAGGAACUUCUCCAUCUUUCUCUUGGAUACCUGUCUUUGCCAACACCUGAUGGGCAUGGCAGUGUAGAUCCUGGACUUCCUGACAUGCCGCCCCCGUAAGUGGUUAAGGUAGGAAACAACGCCUCCACAAUGACGAGACAGCCGACAGGGAGGAGGUGAGGACCCUGGGAGUGUGGUGCCAGGAAAAUAACCUCUCACCCAACGUCAACAAAACAAAAAAGCUGAUCGUGGACUUCAGGAAAUAGCAGAGGGCAACAGGACCGCAGUGGAGAAGUUCCUCGGCGAACACAUCACUGACAAACUGAAAUCGUCCACCCACACAUACAGUGUUGUGAAGAAGGCACAACAGCGCCUCUUCAACUUCAGGAGGCUGAAUAAAUUUGGUUUGGCACCUAAAACCCUCACAAACUUCAACAGAUGCACAAUUGAGAGCAUCCUGUCGGGCUGUAUCACGGUCUGGUAUGGCUACUGCAUUGCCCACAACCACAGGGCUCUCCAGAGGGUUGUCGUGUCUUUG